Molecule: long non-coding RNA, 2047 nt
Organism: Numida meleagris (helmeted guineafowl)
Lineage: Eukaryota; Metazoa; Chordata; Aves; Galliformes; Numididae
Source: Ensembl
GGAAAAUGUAGAUACCCAGGUUAUCACACCUGUGGUCUACAAUAUGCUCUAUUUAUUGGCUGAAGGCAUAAUUUUUUAUGAAACUGUUGUCUACCCUCUGCUUCCAUAAAUCAGGUCAAUGAUCACAGUUAAAUGUAGCUGGGAGAAAGGCAGCAUAUGAAAGUUGGUCUGGUUUUAGUAAGAAACUUAGUAGAAGAAGCUGUGCCAAGAUUAAAGCCUGUACAGUUCUGAGUGUGUCCAUAGAUGGAGUGCUUGCAAAAUUGCAGUUAUCACUGAUUAUGAAAGGUGACCUUGCCGACAUAGGUAAACCAAAAGAAUGCACCCGUGAAACGUUUUGUUGGCCUAUCUAGAGGGGAAAAACUUCUGUAUGGCUAUAUCCUUUGUGUUCAAAACAUUGUUAUGUUUCAGCAUAUCCUUUCAAAAAAAAAAAAAAAAAAGUAGUAAACCAACUGUUUCAUUCUCUUGAAGGAGGGGAGACUUCAAGGGAUUUUACUCUGACAUCUUCUGGACUUCUAUUUGUUGCACGUCUGAAUGUCUGAUGCCAAGUCUUUGUGGUCUACCAGCAAACCUUGGAUUAAAUGAGGAACUGCCUCUUAUAUGAAGAAGACGCACAAAGUAGUGUGGAGCUGCUGGGGACAAAGCCUGAAGUUGACAUCAUCCUUCAAUUCUCAUCAAUAGAAGUAAAUGAAAAUACUCAAAUGACAACAUGGAGAAACACUGAAGGCAGUCAAAGUAAAACACGCCAUUCUGAUAGUGUGCAACAGUACUCUGGAGGAUGCUCAGUUCAGCUUUCUUGUGGUCAGUGACCUUUUCCUCCUUGGCAGAACAGCAGCUAUAAUUUGACUUUUCUGUCAUUAGUGUAAUGUUUCACUCUGUGGUCUUGAUGCAGAUACCGUUAUUGACUGACACGAAUUCUAAUGAGAGAACGAGUGAGCUGUGCCAGAAAGAUUUCUUGACAACUGUGGGAGUCUGGUAGAUCCAGUCUAUGGGUAGUAUACUGUGGAAAAACUGUUAGGCUCUCAUAUUCACAAAUAAGUAGUCCUUAAGAAACUUCAGAAAUAUAUAUUAAAUAUACUAAUGAUUGGUAGAAGCUGAUUUCAUUAGGUAUGUUUCUGCUGGAGAUCAAAAUGAAGACAAGAUUUGGUGGUAAGAGGGUUAUCUGAAGUGGGCAAAUGGAGCUGGAUAUAGAAAGGUUCAUGAGAAAAAUUCAUAUUACAACUUUGAAAGUCAACAUUUUAGAUAAGACGAAGAAUAAUACUAUAAUGAAAAGGCUGUACUGGGUCAAGAUGAACAUUUAUCCAACCUACUGUUCCAUUUCUGAUAGUGGCUGGAGUAGGCAAGGGAAGUAAAUGUUUGAGAAAGUAUGACUGAGGCAGUUGUGUUGUAUUUCAUUAUUUUCCCAGCUACAAGGCAACUACAGCUUGGAAAGUUCCUAAGCUAGAAGUGCUUUCUGUGUUUUUCAUACAUGAUCAAGUUAUGUCUGUGAAGAAAAAACGUGUGCAAGAAUUUUCCAGUUAAAGUGCAAGUACUCACUAAAAAUCUGAACAUACAAAAUAUGUCACAUUUCAUUUGAGAGCUCAUUAUAUCAAUAGAAUUUUAUAAGAAAAAUAGUAACUGUCUUUCUGCUACUAAUAUUCAUAAUAGUGACUUAAGAUUAAAGACAAGGCCUUGUACUUAACAUGAUAUCAAAGACAGAAUAUGAUGGAGAAAAUAUGUCACUGAAAAACUAUCCCUUGAUUAUUUUUAAAACUGUGGGAAAGGGUAAAAUUAGAGUUUUUUGCACCAAAUAGCACAGCAUAUGUUUGAAUUGUGGAAUUCAUUAUCCACACAAGACUUCUGUAAGUGUUGUAAAUAAUGAAUCUAUAAUCAUGCCAUAGAAAAUUGUUAAUUUUAUCCUGAGAAACUGUGACUUUUGUAUCUUUAGUGCAGCAAGUGGAAUUGUGGUAACAUUUUGUUUCAUGUGGAUGUGUUUCUGAUGACAUGGGUUAUAUUUUCAGAGGUGUGCUACUUUGUUUUGGUAGAAAUAAAGAUGACCCAAACAUGUACA